GUUUCCGUAGGUGAACCUGCGGAAGGAUCAUUACCGAGUUGAUUCGAGCUCCGGCUCGACUCUCCCACCCUAUGUGUACCUACCUCUGUUGCUUUGGCGGGCCGCGGUCCUCCGCACCGGCCCCCCUUCGGGGGCUGGCCAGCGCCCGCCAGAGGACCACAAAACUCCAGUCAGUGAACGUCGCAGUCUGAAAAACAAGUUAAUAAACUAAAACUUUCAACAACGGAUCUCUUGGUUCUGGCAUCGAUGAAGAACGCAGCGAAAUGCGAUAAGUAAUGUGAAUUGCAGAAUUCAGUGAAUCAUCGAAUCUUUGAACGCACAUUGCGCCCCUUGGUAUUCCGAGGGGCAUGCCUGUUCGAGCGUCAUUUCAACCCUCAAGCUCUGCUUGGUAUUGGGCUCCGUCCUCCACGGACGCGCCUCAAAGACCUCGGCGGUGGCGUCUUGCCUCAAGCGUAGUAGAAAACACCUCGCUUUGGAGCGCACGGCGUCGCCCGCCGGACGAACCUUUGAAUUUUUCUCAAGGUGAACCUCGGAUCAGGUAGGGAUACCCGCUGAACUUAA
RNAcentral lists this ribosomal RNA (561 nucleotides) under Neofusicoccum vitifusiforme. RNAcentral's name for it is "eukaryotic LSU rRNA". The stretch from base 212 to 365 matches the Rfam family "5.8S ribosomal RNA". Lineage: Eukaryota; Fungi; Ascomycota; Dothideomycetes; Botryosphaeriales; Botryosphaeriaceae. The record is from RNAcentral.